This 497-nucleotide ribosomal RNA is filed under the name uncultured bacterium. RNAcentral describes it as "partial 16S ribosomal RNA". It matches the Rfam family "Bacterial small subunit ribosomal RNA", at positions 28 to 523 of the family's 1533-position model. The record is from RNAcentral.
GAUGAACGCUGGCGGCGUGCUUAACACAUGCAAGUCGAACGAAGCAUUUAGAACAGAUUACUUCGGUUUGAAGUUCUUUAUGACUGAGUGGCGGACGGGUGAGUAACGCGUGGGUAACCUGCCUUGUACUGGGGGAUAGCAGCUGGAAACGGCUGGUAAUACCGCAUAAGCGCACAAUCUUGUAUGACAUGGUGUGAAAAACUCCGGUGGUAUAAGAUGGACCCGCGUCUGAUUAGCUAGUUGGUGAGAUAACAGCCCACCAAGGCGACGAUCAGUAGCCGACCUGAGAGGGUGACCGGCCACAUUGGGACUGAGACACGGCCCAGACUCCUACGGGAGGCAGCAGUGGGGAAUAUUGCACAAUGGAGGAAACUCUGAUGCAGCGACGCCGCGUGAGUGAAGAAGUAAUUCGUUAUGUAAAGCUCUAUCAGCAGGGAAGAUAGUGACGGUACCUGACUAAGAAGCUCCGGCUAAAUACGUGCCAGCAGCCGCCGUAA